This 405-nucleotide ribosomal RNA is filed under the name Papilio aegeus aegeus. RNAcentral describes it as "partial 16S ribosomal RNA". Lineage: Eukaryota; Metazoa; Arthropoda; Insecta; Lepidoptera; Papilionidae. The record is from RNAcentral.
GGGCUGCAGUAUUUUGACUGUACAAAGGUAGCAUAAUCAAUAGUCUCUUAAUUGGUGACUUGUAUGAAAGAUUGGAUGAGAUAUAAACUGUCUCUAAUUGAUUUAUAAAAAUUAAUUUUUUAGUAAAAAAGCUAAAAUAAUUUUAAAAGACGAGAAGACCCUAUAGAGUUUAAUAUUUUAUUUAAUAAUUAUUAAUAUAUGUAAUUUUAAAAAUUAAAAUUAAAUGAAAUAUUUUGUUGGGGUGAUAAAAAAAUUAAAUUAACUUUUUUUGAUUGUAAACAUUAAUUUAUGAUUAAAUGAUCCAUUUAUAGUGAUUAAAAGAAAAAAUUACCUUAGGGAUAACAGCGUAAUUUUUUUUUUUAGUUCAAAUAGGAAAAAAAGUUUGCGACCUCGAUGUUGGAUUAA